UGAAGAUCUCUCCCUACACACCUCAGCAGUUGCAGAUCAAAUCUCUGGUUCAGCUAACCAAAGAGUUGAAAUUGAAAUGGAGAUUCUUUCUCUUGGUCAAAUGUUUGGGCCUUUGACAAACGGUUCCAUCGGUGAAAAAGAGAAUUCUUAUCAUGCUAAGGCUGAAUACACAGAAAAACAGCUUCUCUUAAAUGUUUCUGCUCAACUUAG
Molecule: unclassified non-coding RNA, 210 nt
Filed under: Hevea brasiliensis (rubber tree)
Lineage: Eukaryota; Viridiplantae; Streptophyta; Magnoliopsida; Malpighiales; Euphorbiaceae
Source: RNAcentral